Molecule: non-coding RNA, 759 nt
Filed under: Pongo abelii (Sumatran orangutan)
Lineage: Eukaryota; Metazoa; Chordata; Mammalia; Primates; Hominidae
Source: RNAcentral
AGCCUGAACUUUCUCAUCUAACACCUGUUCAAGUCGGAGGAUGCUGAUUAAUUCAUGAUGGAAAGGUAUCAAUUUCACAGCCCAGACUUCUACAUUCUUGAAAUGCUGUUCUCAUGGGAGACAUUAAAUAAGCUUUGAAAUAACUGAGACGUCUGUGGAUUCUAUAACUCAAAGACCCAGGCUGAUGGCUGGUGGAAUAGCUACCAUCUCAAACAUGGCGUGAUGCUGCAUCAGAGGGAAAAAUAAGCUCUUGCACUGGCAAUGAAAUGUCUACCCUGUAGUGACUUGUGCUUACUUCCACUCACAAAUGAUUGCCCAGAGCUACUUACCUGGCUCCAAUCUACCACUGGUGUUGGAGGUGGGUCCUGGUGUGAGGUGAUUGGAUUAUGGAGGUGAAUUUCUCAGGAAUUGUUUAGCAUCAUCCCCUAUGGCCCUGUCCUUACAUAGUGAGUGCCAUGACACCCAGGAUGCAGCUGUAGGAACACCACUGGGUCCCUGGAUAUCAUGUAAGCCCUUAAGUAAAGGUGCCAUCAAAUGAUUUCUCAGAAAUUAUAAAGAAACAAAAGGACCAUAAACAAGAUAAGGUGGCACGAGGAAACACUAAAAGUACCUUUCAGAGCUGACUGGCAAAGAAACUCCUGAGGUGAUGGUUCUACCCCAAUAUUACUUCUUCCAAGAGCAACCUAACUGACCUUGUAUUGAAGACAGCAUAACCCCCAAGAGGAAAGGAGCUUGGAGCCCUGAAUCAGAGUAGAAGAC